AGCUUGAUAAUGAAAACAGAGAAGCACGUAGAUUACCAAGGUGGCGCGGGCGCAUACCAUACUCGAUGCUCAGCCUCUCACCUAAUUAAACGGAGACGUGACAUUGCUACGUUAUACAUUUUUUAAUCUGGUGUUGAACAGCAACUUAAUCGAUUUACUUAUAAAAUUACUUUAAAUAAUCAAUACAAACAAAAGACUUUAACAUAAUUUUACAAGAAUACCAAUUUACCGGUAUCGGGACACGCUUCUUCGAGGUAUUGCGACAGAAAAAACGAAAGAAAAAUAUUUUAUAAUUAUCAAUGAAAUACUUCUAAAUCCCUCUAAUGAUACUAAAGUUUGCAUUUUAAACAUAUGAAAAUAUUUAAAAAAGUAAACCAGGUCUUAAAUAUUGAAAUACUUAGAAACGAAGUAUUUCGUUCAGCAUCUGUCGUCCAAAUCGGGAGUGUAUGUGAUAAUUGUACUUGAACGUUAAUAUCGAUUAAA
RNAcentral lists this unclassified non-coding RNA (483 nucleotides) under Melitaea cinxia (Glanville fritillary). RNAcentral describes it as "misc RNA ENSMCXG00005005945.1". Lineage: Eukaryota; Metazoa; Arthropoda; Insecta; Lepidoptera; Nymphalidae. The record is from RNAcentral.